Molecule: ribosomal RNA, 430 nt
Filed under: uncultured bacterium
Lineage: Bacteria
Description: bacterial SSU rRNA
Rfam family: Bacterial small subunit ribosomal RNA
Source: RNAcentral
GUUAGGAAUAUUCGGCAAUGGGGGAAACCCUGACCGAGCAAUGCCGCGUGUGAGAUGAAGGCCCUAUGGGUUGUAAAUCACUUUUAUUUGGGAAGAACUGUAAGUAUAGGAAAUGAUACUUACUUGACGGUACCUUUUGAAUAAGCCCCGGCUAACUACGUGCCAGCAGCCGCGGUAAUACGUAGGGGGCGAGCGUUAUCCGGAUUUAUUGGGCGUAAAGCGUGCGUAGGCGGUUUGUUAAGUCCAGAAUUAAAGCCCGAGGCUUAACCUCGGUUCGUUCUGGAUACUGGCAGGCUUGAGUAUGGUAGAGGCAAAUGGAAUUCCUAGUGUAGCGGUGAAAUGCGUAGAUAUUAGGAGGAACACCAGUGGCGAAGGCGAUUUGCUGGGCCAUCACUGACGCUGAGGUACGAAAGCGUGGGGAGCAAAUAGG